AGUCGAGCGGGGAAGGGUAGCUUGCUACCUGACCUAGCGGCGGACGGGUGAGUAAUGCUUAGGAAUCUGCCUAUUAGUGGGGGACAACAUUCCGAAAGGAAUGCUAAUACCGCAUACGCCCUACGGGGGAAAGCAGGGGAUCUUCGGACCUUGCGCUAAUAGAUGAGCCUAAGUCAGAUUAGCUAGUUGGUGGGGUAAAGGCCUACCAAGGCGACGAUCUGUAGCGGGUCUGAGAGGAUGAUCCGCCACACUGGGACUGAGACACGGCCCAGACUCCUACGGGAGGCAGCAGUGGGGAAUAUUGGACAAUGGGCGAAAGCCUGAUCCAGCCAUGCCGCGUGUGUGAAGAAGGCCUUUUGGUUGUAAAGCACUUUAAGCGAGGAGGAGGCUACCGAGAUUAAUACUCUUGGAUAGUGGACGUUACUCGCAGAAUAAGCACCGGCUAACUCUGUGCCAGCAGCCGCGGUAAUACAGAGGGUGCGAGCGUUAAUCGGAUUUACUGGGCGUAAAGCGUGCGUAGGCGGCUUUUUAAGUCGGAUGUGAAAUCCCUGAGCUUAACUUAGGAAUUGCAUUCGAUACUGGGAAGCUAGAGUAUGGGAGAGGAUGGUAGAAUUCCAGGUGUAGCGGUGAAAUGCGUAGAGAUCUGGAGGAAUACCGAUGGCGAAGGCAGCCAUCUGGCCUAAUACUGACGCUGAGGUACGAAAGCAUGGGGAGCAAACAGGAUUAGAUACCCUGGUAGUCCAUGCCGUAAACGAUGUCUACUAGCCGUUGGGGCCUUUGAGGCUUUAGUGGCGCAGCUAACGCGAUAAGUAGACCGCCUGGGGAGUACGGUCGCAAGACUAAAACUCAAAUGAAUUGACGGGGGCCCGCACAAGCGGUGGAGCAUGUGGUUUAAUUCGAUGCAACGCGAAGAACCUUACCUGGUCUUGACAUAGUAAGAACUUUCCAGAGAUGGAUUGGUGCC
This 964-nucleotide ribosomal RNA is filed under the name Acinetobacter johnsonii. Its description in RNAcentral is "bacterial SSU rRNA". It matches the Rfam family "Bacterial small subunit ribosomal RNA", at positions 60 to 1018 of the family's 1533-position model. The record is from RNAcentral. Lineage: Bacteria; Pseudomonadati; Pseudomonadota; Gammaproteobacteria; Moraxellales; Moraxellaceae.